UACGUAGGGUGCGAGCGUUAAUCGGAAUUACUGGGCGUAAAGCGCACGUAGGCGGAUCCUUAAGUCAGGGGUGAAAUCCCGAGGCUCAACCUCGGAACUGCCUUUGAUACUGGGGAUAUCGAGUCCGGGAGAGGUGAGUGGAACUGCGAGUGUAGAGGUGAAAUUCGUAGAUAUUCGCAAGAACACCAGUGGCGAAGGCGGCUCACUGGCCCGGUACUGACGCUGAGGUGCGAAAGCGUGGGGAGCAAACAGG
Molecule: ribosomal RNA, 253 nt
Filed under: uncultured bacterium
Lineage: Bacteria
Description: partial 16S ribosomal RNA
Rfam family: Bacterial small subunit ribosomal RNA
Source: RNAcentral